RNAcentral lists this ribosomal RNA (372 nucleotides) under Triticum aestivum (bread wheat). RNAcentral describes it as "partial small subunit ribosomal RNA". Lineage: Eukaryota; Viridiplantae; Streptophyta; Magnoliopsida; Poales; Poaceae. The record is from RNAcentral.
AUGAUUAGAGGGCCAGUGACUUGCAAGAAAUGUGGCGAAAUGGGUCAUAGGCAAGCUAGUUACAAGUGUCCACUCAAUGGAACCAAAAAAAGGAAGAGGAAGCCUAGAAAGAACAGUACAAAAGCUAGGCCAGCUGAACCUAGCACCCCACAAAGACCUACUAGAGAACAAAUAUUGCGGGACAGUCCAAGCAUGGUCACUAGAAGCCGCCUUGCUAUCUUGUUGGGAGAGGGUAGUUCUUCACAAACCACUAGAACUACCCCAGAGAGGAUGCCAACAGCAGCUCCACCAAAGAAGAUGACCCCAAGGAGGAUGCCAACAGCAGCUCCACCGAAGAAGAUGACUCCAAAGAGGAAGCUACCAGUUGGAUGA